RNAcentral lists this long non-coding RNA (658 nucleotides) under Actinidia chinensis (golden kiwifruit). RNAcentral describes it as "long non-coding RNA (ACHI_LNC001045)". Lineage: Eukaryota; Viridiplantae; Streptophyta; Magnoliopsida; Ericales; Actinidiaceae. The record is from RNAcentral.
GGAGGCCUUUCAUGUCAGACUGCAAUUUGUUAAUUUAGUUGGGCAAGGAAUAAUAGAAACACCAUUCAACUACUCAGGUUGUACAGAAAUCAGCAAUCAACUAUCUCAAGCAAUACAUCAAAUUAAUAAAACGCUCUCUUAAUUUCUAACUUCUCAAAAUUCUAGGGUUUCCCAUUAUCAAGAAUUAAUAUGCACAAUUACAAACAACCAAAGAAGCAAUACUAAACCCUGGAAGGGAAAAAAUCACCUGAACUAUUGUUGGGCGUCGAGAUCUGAAGGGGAGCGAUUGAGAUUCGUAGGAGGAAGAGAUGUGCGGAGAUUGAGAGAGUUGUGGGUGUGAUUGUUGUUGAGGUUGAUUGAAGAGGAAUCCAUGAUUGGAAUUUGGGUAUGGACAGGGAGGCUGAGACGAAUAUGACGUUGCUGAACCUAGAUCCUUGGAAGGCAAGUUGGACAUGAAAAUUUCGCUACGAAUUUUUCUCAAGGAUUUUUCUCAAGGGCAAAAAACUGGGCUUCGGUUCGCAUUCGUUAGCCUUUUAUUUGCAUGCAGACGCCCCUGUUCUUUGCCUAAACAGAUGUCCACAUCGAUUGACGUACACUUGCGGAGUAUUUAAUUUGCCAAAUAGUCCUCCACCUUUUCACUUAUUGGAGGCAACCCUUU